This 629-nucleotide ribosomal RNA is filed under the name uncultured phototrophic eukaryote. Its description in RNAcentral is "LSU rRNA". It matches the Rfam family "Eukaryotic large subunit ribosomal RNA", at positions 646 to 1283 of the family's 3401-position model. The record is from RNAcentral.
GACCCGUCUUGAAACACGGACCAAGGAGUCUAACACAUGUGCAAGUACUGGAGUAUGCAACUCCUGUGCACAAUGAAAGUGACAGUGGCUGAAAUGUUUGCACAGUCAGCCGGCCUCAAUCCUUUGGGAGAAUGGUCUGAGUGUGAGCACACAUGUUGGGACCCGAAAGAUGGUGAACUAUGCUUGAGUAGGGUGAAGCCAGGGGAAACUCUGGUGGAGGCUUGUAACGAUUCUGACGUGCAAAUCGAUCGUCAAACUUUAGUAUAGGGGCGAAAGACUAAUCGAACCAUCUAGUAGCUGGUUUCCUCUGAAAUUUCCCUUAGGAUAGCUGCAAUCAAUCACCAAUUUUGUCAGGUAAAGCGAAUGAUUAGAGGUUCCGGGGGCGUACUGCUCUCGGCCUAUUCUCAAACUUUAAAUGGGCAAGAACUCGGGGUUGCUUGAUUGAACCCUGCGGUAGAAUGGUGGUUGUGAGUGGGCCACACUGGGUAAGCUAGUUUGGCGAUGCGGGAUGAUCCGAACGUGAGGGUAAAGUGCCAAAGUGCCAGCUCACCUAGAUACCACAAAAGGUGUUGGUUGCUCCAGACAGCAGGACGGUGGCCAUGGAAGUUGGAAUCCGCUAAGGAGUGUGU